CGUAUAGGGUGUGACGCCUGCCCGGUGCCGGAAGGUUAAUUGAUGGGGUUAGCGCAAGCGAAGCUCUUGAUCGAAGCCCCGGUAAACGGCGGCCGUAACUAUAACGGUCCUAAGGUAGCGAAAUUCCUUGUCGGGUAAGUUCCGACCUGCACGAAUGGCGUAACGAUGGCGGCGCUGUCUCCACCCGAGACUCAGUGAAAUUGAAAUCGCUGUGAAGAUGCAGUGUAUCCGCGGCUAGACGGAAAGACCCCGUGAACCUUUACUGUAGCUUUGCACUGGACUUUGAGCCUGCUUGUGUAGGAUAGGUGGGAGGCUUUGAAGCGUGGACGCCAGUUCGCGUGGAGCCAUCCUUGAAAUACCACCCUGGCAUGCUUGAGGUUCUAACUCUGGUCCGUAAUCCGGAUCGAGGACAGUGUAUGGUGGGCAGUUUGACUGGGGCGGUCUCCUCCUAAAGAGUAACGGAGGAGUACGAAGGUGCGCUCAGACCGGUCGGAAAUCGGUCGCAGAGUAUAAAGGCAAAAGCGCGCUUGACUGCGAGACAGACACGUCGAGCAGGUACGAAAGUAGGUCUUAGUGAUCCGGUGGUUCUGUAUGGAAGGGCCAUCGCUCAACGGAUAAAAGGUACUCCGGGGAUAACAGGCUGAUACCGCCCAAGAGUUCAUAUCGACGGCGGUGUUUGGCACCUCGAUGUCGGCUCAUCACAUCCUGGGGCUGAAGCCGGUCCCAAGGGUAUGGCUGUUCGCCAUUUAAAGUGGUACGCGAGCUGGGUUUAGAACGUCGUGAGACAGUUCGGUCCCUAUCUGCCGUGGACGUUUGAGAUUUGAGAGGGGCUGCUCCUAGUACGAGAGGACCGGAGUGGACGAACCUCUGGUGUUCCGGUUGUCACGCCAGUGGCAUUGCCGGGUAGCUAUGUUCGGAAAAGAUAACCGCUGAAAGCAUCUAAGCGGGAAACUUGCCUCAAGAUGAGAUCUCACUGGGAACUUGAUUCCCCUGAAGGGCCGUCGAAGACUACGACGUUGAUAGGCUGGGUGUGUAAGCGUUGUGAGGCGUUGAGCUAACCAGUACUAAUUGCCCGUGAGGCUUGACCAU
This 1089-nucleotide ribosomal RNA is filed under the name Pseudomonas aeruginosa. RNAcentral's name for it is "bacterial LSU rRNA". It matches the Rfam family "Bacterial large subunit ribosomal RNA", at positions 1842 to 2925 of the family's 2925-position model. The record is from RNAcentral. Lineage: Bacteria; Pseudomonadati; Pseudomonadota; Gammaproteobacteria; Pseudomonadales; Pseudomonadaceae.